AAACUUUUAACAACGGAUCUCUUGGUUCUGGCAUCGAUGAAGAACGCAGCGAAAUGCGAUAAGUAAUGUGAAUUGCAGAAUUCAGUGAAUCAUCGAAUCUUUGAACGCACAUUGCGCCCCCUGGUAUUCCGGGGGGCAUGCCUGUUCGAGCGUCGUUU
RNAcentral lists this ribosomal RNA (158 nucleotides) under Cladosporium pseudocladosporioides. Its description in RNAcentral is "5.8S ribosomal RNA". It matches the Rfam family "5.8S ribosomal RNA". From Rfam's summary of the family: 5.8S ribosomal RNA (5.8S rRNA) is a component of the large subunit of the eukaryotic ribosome. It is transcribed by RNA polymerase I as part of the 45S precursor that also contains 18S and 28S rRNA. Functionally, it is thought that 5.8S rRNA may be involved in ribosome translocation. Lineage: Eukaryota; Fungi; Ascomycota; Dothideomycetes; Cladosporiales; Cladosporiaceae. The record is from RNAcentral.